RNAcentral lists this ribosomal RNA (468 nucleotides) under uncultured bacterium. RNAcentral's name for it is "partial 16S ribosomal RNA". It matches the Rfam family "Bacterial small subunit ribosomal RNA", at positions 28 to 507 of the family's 1533-position model. The record is from RNAcentral.
GACGAACGCUGGCGGCGGGCUUAACACAUGCAAGUCGAACGGAAAGGCCCUGCUUUUGUGGGGUGCUCGAGUGGCGAACGGGUGAGUAACACGUGAGUAACCUGCCCUUGACUUUGGGAUAACUUCAUGAAACUGGGGCUAAUACCGGGUAGGAGCUCCUGCUUCAUGGGGGGGGUGGGAAAGUUUCGGCGGUUGGGGAUGGACUCGCCGCUUAUCAGCUUGAUGGUGGGGUAGUGGAUUACCAAGGCUUGGAGGGGUAGCCGGCCUGAGAGGGUGACCGGCUACAUUGCGACUGAGAUACGGCACAGACUCCAACGGGAGGCAGCAGUGGGGAAUAUUGCACAACGGGAGGAAGCCUGAUGCAGCAACGCCGCGUGCGGGAUGACGGCCUUCGGGUUGUAAACCGAUUUCGCCUGUGACGAAGCGUGAGUGACGGUAAUGGGUAAAGAAGCCCCGGCUAACUACGUG